RNAcentral lists this long non-coding RNA (1011 nucleotides) under Cricetulus griseus (Chinese hamster). Its description in RNAcentral is "lncRNA (ENSCGRG00015032479.1)". Lineage: Eukaryota; Metazoa; Chordata; Mammalia; Rodentia; Cricetidae. The record is from RNAcentral.
CCAGAACUGUCCUUUUCUUCACUGGCCCUGGCGCCGCUGAUCUUCCAAAGCUUCUCUCUCAUGACACCUCUUGGAAGUUUUCCGACUUAGACCCGUAGAGAAUUGGAGAACUAUGGACCCUCUCUCUAGAAAAAUGCUCACCCACACAGAAGCAGAGUUUUGCAUGGUAUUGCAGGGCGUUUUGAAACUUCUCAAGUGUCAAGACCGCCAACUUCAGACCUCUACAGGUGCCUGCGGGAGUCCCACACAGCCAAUGAAGACCCACCUGACAGCAAUCCCUGGAUGCUCUGGAAAAGAAAUUGGGCCAUACCUCCUAGACUGCACUGGAUCCAACUUACUCCAUUUCAACUGACACUCCAACUAGAGCUUCGAGUCCUGACUUCAAUCAAGUUGAGGAUUUCAACCUAGAUCUUCAGUCAAACAAAUCCCGUCUAACAUGGACUGGAUAUAAUCCGUUGGAGACUUUCACUAUACUAACAUUUUCUUCCCAUAGGACCCCACAAGGCUACCAUCGUCCCAUUUCAGCAGGAAGUAAAUUGUAGGAUGCUACACCCCUGUUCCCCAUUAUUGUCUAUUAGGGUAGUGUAAGCCUAGUUAGGAAUAACUUUCCUAUUGUUUAGGGUUGGAAUUGGAAGGAGGUGUUCAAGUUCAGAUGACUUUAGGGUUUAGCUGAAAUAGACAUAGUUAGGAUGUGCAAUAACAGAUUAUUGUAUCUUCUUGUAUUUCACCUUUAUGAUUGUUAAUUUUGGAUAUUUUACACUAUUAAGUUUUAAUCCCCUUUUAGACUAAAAGGGGAAUUAUAGGGCGACACCGUAGCCACACUUCCUAAGGGCUGGCUACAGGUGUGCCUGACCACGCCUAUCAAGGCAUGGUCAAGGUGAGGUCAGGGUGACGUGGGAGGGCUUCUUAAGCAACCACAAGCCCACGGAACCAGCUCGUCCCCUUCGGCUGCCCCUUCUCUCUGGCCUCCCUGCCUUGCUGCCCCUGGGUACACUCUGGCUUGCAUUUAAC